ACAGAUUAGCCUCAGAAAGAAAGCUGUGUGAAAAAGAUGAAACACAGAUUUGAAGGCAAUCUUGAAGACUAGACAGAAAUCUAUAAAUCAAGGAAGGAAGAACCUCAAAAUCACACUUCAUAACUGCUUCAAUAACCCUUGGCAAUAGACACAACACUGGAUGUUGGCUGAUAACACUAAAAUUUUUGCUGGUUCGAUCUUAAGAAACAGGAUAAGCGUGCAACCACCAGAACAGAAAUGGAUCGGGCAUGAUAUCUGCUUCUUCAAUUUGUAGUUUUAUACUCAAAAACUGGCAUGUAUGUACCUAAUUGGUAGCAUGCAAGUCAUACGACUCUAUCCCGACUUUGAAAGAGGUUGAGAACUUAAUUUCUGGCUUCUACCUUGGGAAGGCUCAGACUCAUAACCUGGAAAAUUAGCCAACAUGCACAGGAUAUUCAAAGCUUCUAAGCAGUCAAAAGAUUGUCAAGUGGUAAAACAGACAUGAAAAAAACCUUUUUUUGGCACUCAAUUUGAAAAAUGUAACUUUCUCAAAAUAUCGUAUGUGGCUUUCCGUAAAAUUAAAGCAGUCCUGGGAGAGAGAACAUCUCA
Molecule: long non-coding RNA, 588 nt
Organism: Cebus imitator (Panamanian white-faced capuchin)
Lineage: Eukaryota; Metazoa; Chordata; Mammalia; Primates; Cebidae
Exons: 2
Source: RefSeq, a predicted model, not a curated record